AUCUUAUCAAGAGUAGGUGGAGGGACUGGCCCGAUGAAACCCGGCAACCGGCGGUAUACCGCACGGUGCUAAUUCUUGCAGCGACCAAGUGUCCAAGUUGACACUGUUGUAACUGAGAGAUGAGAG
RNAcentral lists this non-coding RNA (126 nucleotides) under Paenibacillus sp. RNAcentral's name for it is "SAM-I sequence". It matches the Rfam family "SAM riboswitch aptamer (S box leader)". Rfam says of the family: The SAM riboswitch is found upstream of a number of genes which code for proteins involved in methionine or cysteine biosynthesis in Gram-positive bacteria. The SAM riboswitch acts at the level of transcription termination control. The predicted structure consists of a complex stem-loop region followed by a single stem loop terminator region. Lineage: Bacteria; Bacillati; Bacillota; Bacilli; Caryophanales; Paenibacillaceae. The record is from RNAcentral.